The submitters of this non-coding RNA (81 nucleotides) gave its source as unclassified sequences. The record is from Rfam.
AUAAUGAUACUUCCGUCAAGUCACAGACACAACCAAUGAUGGCGGCUCUAUGCGAACCAUAGAGGGAUGAGAUUUCCAUGA